AUCGAACGCUGGCGGCAGGCCUAACACAUGCAAGUCGAACGAGUGGCGGACUGGCGAGUAGUGUCUUGGAACCUGCCUGAUGGAGGGAUCUAACUGCUGUAAACGGUAGCUACUACCGCAUACCAUCGGAUGUGCCCUGAUGGGAUUAGCUAGUAGGUGGGGUAAAGGCUCACCAAGGCGACGAUCCCUAGCUGGUCUGAGAGGAUGACCGGCCACACUGGGACUGAGACACGGUCCAGACUCCUACGGGAGGCAGCAGUGGGGAAUAUUGCGCAAUGGACGAAAGCCUGAUGCAGCAAUGCCGCGUGUGUGAAGAAGGCCUUCGGGUUGUAAAGUUCUGUCAGCAGGGAGGCGGUACCCAAACAGGAAGCAACGGCUAACUACGUGCCAGCAGCCGCGGUAAUAC
RNAcentral lists this ribosomal RNA (406 nucleotides) under uncultured bacterium. RNAcentral describes it as "partial 16S ribosomal RNA". It matches the Rfam family "Bacterial small subunit ribosomal RNA", at positions 30 to 526 of the family's 1533-position model. The record is from RNAcentral.